AAGAUUUUAGAAAUUAAAAGUAAUCUACGUAAACCUUUACAUUUGUAUCACAAUUGAUACAAUAGUACAGUCAUGGUUCAUUUAAUUGGAGCAUUAAAGUAUUUAUAUGAUACUUUAUCUUUUUCAUCAAGGAAAUACAUCAAAUAUGGAAGUUGAAAUAAAAUCGAUGUUAUCAUGUAUGUCCUUCCCCCCAAAAUAUAUCAGUAUUUACUCUUUAUUUUUCAUAUUUACAUCAACAUACAACUUUAAGGGCCUCUGUAGCCAAGUGGUCAAAGUAAUUCAACUACAGUAUCACUAGCCUGUCAAUACUGAGAUUUAAAUUGAAACCCUGCAUGUUGCAGACGCUUUAUACUCUGAUCUUAACUGACAAGGAAAGACACUUCCUAAUGAAGAGCAGUGGGUCCCUCCUGGCACUACAGCUUCCUCUACCAAUAAAAUUUGACCACUUAUUAUGGGCAAGAUCACGCUUACACCAACAAGCAAUUGCAAUAAUCGAGCAGCAUGAUCUAUAAGAAUUAGAAUUUAAUUUUUGGAUCAGAAAGUGCAGAUACAAUACCUUAACUUUUGAUUAUGAAAACAUCCAUGUGAACAAUAAUUAUGUAUUGGCUAUUUGAUCACAUUUGACACACACACUUUUUGACCACAAGUAGACACAAAAAGAAUGGCAAAGCAGAGGUCAAUUCCAGAACUAAAUAUGUGUAUAUUAACAUGAAUGACAUUUAUUUAUUUAUUUAUUGAAGUAUGGUAUUUACUAACAAUAUGAAAGUCCUUUUUAUCUGUAAAUAUCCUGUUCUAAAAAAUAUCAAUACCUGUAACUUUUCUGUGAAAACUGAACCUAUUUGUAAUUGUAAAUGCUUUAAAAACAUACAUUAAAUUUAAAAGAUCUGAAUGGUACUUUACACUUAAUGUUAUUUAACAUUCCGGAGCCAAUUAAAUUUUCUACAAACUAUGAUUUCCUAUAAAAGGAAGAGAUUCAUGUCAAACCAAUCUUUACAAAACAUAAUUGUUUGUGAAGCCUGCAUGGAUUGUAAACAUAUCUGUAUUAUGAUGAUGCCUUAACUGAUUGUAAACUAAUAUCAGUUUCACAAUGAGGAACAGUAAUGCAAUUGAAAUGUAAACUUCAAUUUGCCAAACUGACUGUUUGAUUUAUUUCACUGAAUUUAAAAAAAAACGAGCACCCACUUUCCAAAACCUAAACAUUCUUAGUAAUCUUAGGAUCUAAGGAAGAAUU
Molecule: long non-coding RNA, 1231 nt
Filed under: Mytilus galloprovincialis (Mediterranean mussel)
Lineage: Eukaryota; Metazoa; Mollusca; Bivalvia; Mytilida; Mytilidae
Source: RNAcentral